Molecule: ribosomal RNA, 582 nt
Filed under: uncultured Glomus
Lineage: Eukaryota; Fungi; Glomeromycota; Glomeromycetes; Glomerales; Glomeraceae
Description: eukaryotic LSU rRNA
Rfam family: Eukaryotic large subunit ribosomal RNA
Source: RNAcentral
CAUGGAGGGUGAGAAUCCCGUCCGGCUGACCUUCAGGACGUUUUACGAUACGCUCUCAAAGAGUCGAGUUGUUUGGGAUUGCAGCUCAAAAUGGGAGGUAAAUUUCUCCUAAGGCUAAAUACCGGCGAGAGACCGAUAGCGAACAAGUACCGUGAGGGAAAGAUGAAAAGAAUUUUGAAAAGAAAGUCAAACAGUACGUGAAAUUGUUGAAAGGGAAACGGUUGAAGCCAGUCGUACCGACGGGAAUUCAACUUCUCGAGUGCUAAUCGUGGGUGACGUUGAGCCUCACGGCCUUCGUUGCUUGUGUUGUUGGUGCUUUUGGGGUGUACUUUUCCGUAUUGGUAGGUCAGCAUCGAUUUCGAUCGUCAUAAAAUGAUCGGGGGAAUGUAGCUUCGGUCUCGUAUCGGAGUGUUAUAGACCUUGGUAGAUGUGACGAUUGGGAUCGAGGAUUGCAACGAAUACCCUUUGGGCUAUCCGUCUGUCCUCUGAAAGUCGCUCGGGUGUCGAAAGCGUGCUUAUGGCUAUUCGAGUUGGCGGUCAACAGGUUAGAACGUGAUUAUAUUCGUUAAGGAUGUUGACGUA